RNAcentral lists this ribosomal RNA (404 nucleotides) under uncultured bacterium. RNAcentral's name for it is "bacterial SSU rRNA". It matches the Rfam family "Bacterial small subunit ribosomal RNA", at positions 355 to 776 of the family's 1533-position model. The record is from RNAcentral.
UGGGGAAUAUUGCGCAAUGGGGGAAACCCUGACGCAGCAACGCCGCGUGAAGGAAGAAGGCUUUCGGGUUGUAAACUUCUUUGAUUGGGGAAGAAGAUGACGGUACCCAAGGAACAAGCCACGGCUAACUACGUGCCAGCAGCCGCGGUAAUACGUAGGUGGCGAGCGUUGUCCGGAAUUACUGGGCGUAAAGGGCGUGUAGGCGGGGGAGCAAGUCAGAUGUGAAAUUCCACGGCUUAACUGUGGCGCUGCAUCUGAAACUGUUUCUCUUGAGUGCUGGAGAGGAAAGUGGAAUUCCCAGUGUAGCGGUGAAAUGCGUAGAGAUUGGGAGGAACACCAGUGGCGAAGGCGGCUUUCUGGACAGUAACUGACGCUGAGGCGCGAAAGCGUGGGGAGCAAACAGG